GUGCCAGCCGCCGCGGUAAUACGUAGGUGGCGAGCGUUGUCCGGAUUUAUUGGGUUUAAAGGGUGCGUAGGCGGUCCUAUAAGUCAGUGCUGAAAUAUCCCGGCUUAACCGGGAGGGUGGCAUUGAUACUGCAGGACUUGAGUAAAGUUGAGGUAGGCGGAAUUGACGGUGUAGCGGUGAAAUGCUUAGAUAUCGUCAAGAACACCGAUAGUGCAGACAGCUUACUAAGCUUUAACUGACGCUGAGGCACGAAAGUGUGGGGAUCAAACAGGAUUAGAUACCCGGGUAGUCC
This 292-nucleotide ribosomal RNA is filed under the name uncultured bacterium. Its description in RNAcentral is "partial 16S ribosomal RNA". It matches the Rfam family "Bacterial small subunit ribosomal RNA", at positions 505 to 796 of the family's 1533-position model. The record is from RNAcentral.